AGUGGGGGAAGGGAGGGGUCCUGGUGGGUUUGGAUCCGCUGUCCCUGCUUGGGACGAGUGACAUGGAGAGAUGCCUCAUUCCCUUGGGGGGGGAAGCACUGGGGCUCUCCUUCCACCGUUGAUCUUCCCUCCCGCGAUGGAAAGGACUUUAAAAAUAAGAAGAAAGACCUUUUUUUUUUUUUUUUUCUUUUUGCAAACGCUAUAUUCAUAUUUGGGCCUGGUCGGCUCCGCACUCGCGCCUUUCAGGGCGAUUAUCUCAUAUCUUUCCUACAGAAGUAAGCUAUCCCUGCAGCCCCCGGGUCAGGCAUUGAUCUCGCUGCAAUGUAACAAACGGCCGGGUUAAUUUUCCCUCAUUAGCAUUUCCAUAGCCCGGGCUCCACACACAGGAUCCUGCCUAUAGCUUCACAGCUUCUGGCUGGCUCUGUGCGGGUGCGUGUGCGUGCGUGCGUGCGUGUGUGUGUGUCCCCCGCUCCCAUCCCCGCCGUCUCCCAGACACACACACACACAGACACACAUGUGUCAUGUCAACCCUCUAUCUCGCUCCAGGCUGAGCCUGGACACACUACACUUGAUGCCACCUCCUCUUCGCUUCCCGUGUGUGUGUAUCUUUGCCCCACAUAGCACCCCUUCUAUAUUAUUUUAUACCCCCCCCUUUGUAUGGCUCUUUCUGACUUUUAUUUGGUCCCUAGAGAUAUAUAUAUAUAUAUUUAAAUCUUGUUCUCUCUCUAAAUUAAACGGAUUCCCCACACCCCUCCCUAACCCCGUUUACUUCUUAAUCUUUUUUUUUCUUUCCUUGAGUCUUUUCAUUCACUAGGUUGCAAAAGAAGCGGGGGUUGGUCAACACUAAAAUGGCAAAGUUCAUCUUGAAAAAAAAAAAGCCCUCCAGCUACCUACAAAGGGGCUCAGGGCUUUGUAAUGGCAGAAAGAAACAAAAAUGAAAAGAAAAUUGCAGUUGAGGCUAAAGUGUGAGAGUGUGUUUGUGUGUAUGUAUAUCUGUGUGUAUUUUUAAAGGUUUCUUUGAACUGCCUUUGUGCUGAGUAGGCAAUGCUUCUUGCCAAUGCUAGUCACGGUUUAAGGAACUUUGAGUUAACCUCUUAUAUCGAAUGAAUCUUUUCAUUUGGAAACCAAUAAAUCUCAAUCUCUAGCCACCUUUUGUAGAGCAGGCUGAAGCUUACCAAGGCAAGGCUGGAGCUUAUAAUAAAGAAGAGAUAAAGUUUGCCAAAGUUUUUUUUUUCUUCUUCUCUUGUAAAUAAAAGUUUUGGAGAUGGCAGCGUUUGGAAAGGAACUCGGAGAAGGACUUGGAUCUAUGCAUUGUUUCACAGCUCCAGCCCCGCGUCCAGGGCAGACCCCAGCCCCGCUCGCCUUCCUGCGGAGAGGGAAGCAAAGGCGGACGAUGUAUUCCCGCAGCAGGAG
This is a long non-coding RNA of Gavialis gangeticus (Gharial), 1413 nucleotides long. RefSeq lists it as uncharacterized. NCBI's taxonomy places the organism in Eukaryota, Metazoa, Chordata, Crocodylia, Gavialidae. The transcript has 4 exons. The record is from RefSeq and is a predicted model, not a curated record.